GGCAGUUUUGAUGAUGUUACUUCUUUUAUUUUAAGAAGACAUCAGAUAAAUCUGUGCU
Larimichthys crocea (large yellow croaker) is the source of this 58-nucleotide non-coding RNA. NCBI's taxonomy places the organism in Eukaryota, Metazoa, Chordata, Actinopteri, Sciaenidae. The record is from Rfam.